This 429-nucleotide long non-coding RNA is filed under the name Pan troglodytes (chimpanzee). RNAcentral's name for it is "long non-coding RNA NONPTRT015668". The record is from RNAcentral. Lineage: Eukaryota; Metazoa; Chordata; Mammalia; Primates; Hominidae.
CCGCGACCUCCCCGCCAGUUCCUGUGUGUUGCUGGCUGGAAAGGGGUAGUUGACAAACUCCCACCCAGCACAGUAUUUAUGUCGGUCAAAAAUGGAAAACUAUGUGUCCGGGCACGGCCCAGGAAGGAGGAUCCCUUCAGGCCAAGAGCAGCCUAGCAAUAUGGCGCAACCCCACCUCUGUAGUCCAACCUCAGCCUCCCAGCUACUUGAACCCCAAGAUUCAAGGCUCCAAUGAGCUGUGAUCUCACCACAGCACUCCUGCCUGCGAGACUGAGAGACCAAAGACCAACAAACUACCACAGCCACCAGUUCCGGAACCUGCCAAUGAUGGGCAACGGAAAGUGAGGGAGUUCAACUCUGUUUUCAGAGAAAUGGAAUAAUCAUAUCGCUGAUCUAUGUAAACAAGUUGAAGAAUUGUCUGACAGAAAA